Molecule: non-coding RNA, 25 nt
Filed under: Mus musculus (house mouse)
Lineage: Eukaryota; Metazoa; Chordata; Mammalia; Rodentia; Muridae
Source: RNAcentral
UAGGUUGGGGUAAGGAAAACUGACU